AGAGCCUCAAAGAGCACCCAGCAUAACUGUGGGAGAAUAGUAAGCAUUGGACACAAAAUGGUUUAGGCAAAUAAUGAUGAACAAAAAUGGUCAGUCUGUGUUCCUGCUGACCCAGCACAGUGGGGACGCUGUGUAGGACAUGACCUUUGGGGGAAAGGACACAAGAACUCAGCGUGGGGGAUCCAGAAAAGAAGUCGCACGUAUUGAAGCCAGUAACGCCAAGCCAGUGAAUUCUCCUUGACGAGAAAGACCCACUUACUCUGCAGAAGAGAUAUAUGACAGCUGACAAUCCCUGGAGGAGAAUCUUUCUACUAAAUUGGUAAGGGAUGCUAAGCAAAUGAUGUGGACUCAGGAAACAACGCAUUUCAUGAUAUACGGUUGCCUCUCAAGGUGAAUUCGAGACCCCUCUUGAAUUACAAAGAGUUGAAAACAUUCAAGUACGGAAUAAACUAUUACUGCGAAUACGCUCAUAUGACACAAGAACAAUCUCUGAGCUUCUUUGAGGAUGUCCAGAUGACUGCUGACUGCACUAAUUGCAUCAAUCGUGUAUCCAUACAGGCAGGACCUUGCUCUGUCACCCAGGCUGUAGUGCAAUGGUGUGAUCUCAGCUUACUGCAGCCUCAACCUCCUGGGCUCAAGUGAUCCUACCACAGCUUCCUGAGUAGCUGGGACUACAGAACUGAUCCGAGAGGACAGGGAAGUCAGUGUGGGCGGCUCUAAGGAGCCUCCCUCUCUACAGCUGCGGCUCAGAGGAUUACGGCGCUUCAUCCACAAGGCAACAUUGCACAAGUAGCUUUUGAACAAAAGUCAUGGAUACUAUUAAUGAUAUGGUAAUCCUUAAUCGAGCUACCUCCCAGUAGUGAUUAUACUGACAUGGGAAGAAUAUCUAAGUCGUGGAGGCAGCCCACAACAACACUGUGUCAUUGUUCACCCCGGGCUCGACCAGGACUAACUUUUACCAGCAUCUCUAACGUCACCUUUCCCCUGAUGCCUCCCCACAACCCCUGGCCCCAGCUCCCAUUCCCGCCCCAUCAUAGCAAAAAAGUAGCAAAGAAAACCCUGAUCCUAAA
Homo sapiens (human) is the source of this 1070-nucleotide long non-coding RNA. Ensembl annotates it as long intergenic non-protein coding RNA 2436. Lineage: Eukaryota; Metazoa; Chordata; Mammalia; Primates; Hominidae. The record is from Ensembl.